Molecule: ribosomal RNA, 579 nt
Filed under: uncultured bacterium
Lineage: Bacteria
Description: bacterial SSU rRNA
Rfam family: Bacterial small subunit ribosomal RNA
Source: RNAcentral
AGAGUUUGAUCUGGCUCAGAGCGAACGCUGGCGGCGUGCUUAACACAUGCAAGUCGAGUGCGCGCCUGUAGCAAUACAGGUGGCGCACGGCGCACGGGUGCGUAACACGUGGGUAAUCUGCCCUUCGAUGGGGAAUAACUCCGGGAAACCGAAGCUAAUUCCGCAUAACAUUCCUUGAACUUCGGUUUGGGGACUCAAAGCCGUAAGGCGUCGGAGGAGGAACCCGCGCACGAUUAGCUAGUUGGUAGGGUAACGGCCUACCAAGGCUUUGAUCGUUAGCUGGUCUGAGAGGAUGGCCAGCCACACUGGAACUGAGACACGGUCCAGACUCCUAUGGGAGGCAGCAGUGGGGAAUCUUGCACAAUGGGCGAAAGCCUGAUGCAGCGACGCCGCGUGGGGGAUGAAGCUUUUCGGAGUGUAAACCCCUUUCGACCCGGACGAAUGUCCCGCAAGGGAACUGACGGUACGGGUAUAAGAAGCCCCGGCUAACUACGUGCCAGCAGCCGCGGUAAGACGUGGGGGGCCAGCGUUGCUCGGAAUUACUGGGUGUAAAGGGUUCGUAGGCGGUGUAGCAAGUCG